This 72-nucleotide transfer RNA is filed under the name Lentinus tigrinus ALCF2SS1-7. RNAcentral's name for it is "tRNA-Glu". It matches the Rfam family "tRNA". From Rfam's summary of the family: Transfer RNA (tRNA) molecules are approximately 80 nucleotides in length. Their secondary structure includes four short double-helical elements and three loops (D, anti-codon, and T loops). The record is from RNAcentral. Lineage: Eukaryota; Fungi; Basidiomycota; Agaricomycetes; Polyporales; Polyporaceae.
UCCGAUAUGGUGUAGUGGCUAACAUUAUCGCCUCUCACGCGAUAGCCCGGGGUUCGAUUCCCAGUGUCGGAA